This is a long non-coding RNA of Prunus mume (Japanese apricot), 827 nucleotides long. RefSeq lists it as uncharacterized. NCBI's taxonomy places the organism in Eukaryota, Viridiplantae, Streptophyta, Magnoliopsida, Rosales, Rosaceae. The record is from RefSeq and is a predicted model, not a curated record.
AACUAACGGUUAUGUAGAAAACCCUAAUCACUCAAAAAUUUCAAAAAUCCUUCCAUCACCUAAUCGCUCAGUUAAAUUGGUGACGAUUAGUGGGAGUUCGAAGCUUUGAUUUUUCUUCGCUCCAUUUUUCCUUGCCUGCAUUUUCUUGUUCUGGUACUUUCGAAUUUUAAAUAUUUAUAAAUCCUGAUUUGUGUAAAUUGCCUAUUGCUAGGUAAUUGUUCAACCCAGAAGAUCUGAUAGAAAGACCCAAUUGAAGCCCUAGCUUUUCUGGUGGAAGGCAAUUGACACCAAGGUCGAAUUUGCAGUCAACAAUUGCAGUUUUGCUUGGCGCUACUAGGUGGUAGCUUUUCACCUGACUUCCAAGACCACCAUCUCAUCUACUCUUCAAUAGCUAACUGCCACUCAAGGGCUGGAUAGGAAGUCUGCUUUCUCUGCAGGAUCGUAUGAGCUUCAUGCUAGUUGUGCCAAGAUUGAGUGGCGUGGCAUCCUUAUUUGACCCAAUUUUCAAUGAGACCACAUCCCAAGGUGGAUGGUCUUUUUACGUGUCAUGGAGUGUCUGCCGCCAUGCGAAUUGCGUGUCGUGUUAGUUUUUAUUUUUUAUUUUUUAUUACGAGGGUAGGGGAGAUUCAAAUUGGAACCUCUUCCAACAUUGAGAAGAGAAAUACGAACAAACCAAGUGCUACUCGGUGCAUGAGUUUGCUUGGUGAUCUGAAAUUUAUGACUAAAUGCCAUGUUAUUAGUCUUAGGUGACUUAAAUUACUAUAUUGGAAGAUGUUCAUGGAUGUUCUGAGCAAGUUCUUUCUGAUGAAUGAUAGUCUUGAACCUAA